UACGAAGGGUGCAAGCGUUACUCGGAAUUACUGGGCGUAAAGCGUGCGUAGGCGGUUUGUUAAGUCUGAUGUGAAAGCCCUGGGCUCAACCUGGGAAUGGCAUUGGAUACUGGCAACCUAGAAUGUGGUAGAGGGUGGCGGAAUUCCCGGUGUAGCAGUGAAAUGCGUAGAUAUCGGGAGGAACACCUGUGGCGAAGGCGACCCCCUGGUUGGAUACUGACGCUGAGACGCGAAAGCGUGGGGAGCAAACAGG
This 253-nucleotide ribosomal RNA is filed under the name uncultured bacterium. RNAcentral's name for it is "partial 16S ribosomal RNA". It matches the Rfam family "Bacterial small subunit ribosomal RNA", at positions 524 to 776 of the family's 1533-position model. The record is from RNAcentral.